UCCUACGGGAGCAGCAGUGAGGAAUAUUGGUCAAUGGACGAGAGUCUGAACCAGCCAAGUAGCGUGCAGGAUGACUGUUCUAUGGAUUGUAAACUGCUUUUAUACGGGAAUAAACAACUCUACGUGCUACAAUGGUUGUGUGUGCCGUAUGAAUAAGGAUCGGCUAACUCCGUGCCAGCAGCCGCGGUAAUACGGAGGAUCCGAGCGUUAUCCGGAUUUAUUGGGUUUAAAGGGAGCGUAGAUGGAUUGUUAAGUCAGUUGUGAAAGUUUGCGGCUCAACCGUAAAAUUGCAUUUGAUACUGGAAGUCUUGAGUGCAGUUGAGGUAGGCGGAAUUCGUGGUGUAGCGGUGAAAUGCUUAGAUAUCACGAAGAACUCCGAUUGCGAAGGCAGCUUACUAACCUGUAACUGACAUUGAUGCUCGAAAGUGUGGGUAUCAAACAGGAUUAGAUACCCUGGUAGUCCACACGGUAAACGAUGAAUACUCGCUGUUUGCGAUAUACAGUCUGCGGCCAAGCGAAAGCGUUAAGUAUUCCACCUGGGGAGUACGCCGGCAACAGUGAAACUCAAAGAAAUUGACGG
RNAcentral lists this ribosomal RNA (580 nucleotides) under uncultured bacterium. Its description in RNAcentral is "bacterial SSU rRNA". It matches the Rfam family "Bacterial small subunit ribosomal RNA", at positions 337 to 916 of the family's 1533-position model. The record is from RNAcentral.